Molecule: non-coding RNA, 72 nt
Organism: Phrynosoma platyrhinos (Desert horned lizard)
Lineage: Eukaryota; Metazoa; Chordata; Lepidosauria; Squamata; Phrynosomatidae
Source: the annotation of a GenBank genome assembly
GUUUGAGUGGUGUUGUGGUUUGAUUGUUAGAUUAUGAAUCUGGAGGCCAUGGUUUGAAUCCAAGCUCAGCCA